AAUAGAUACCCUGGUAGUCCACGCCGUAAACGUUGGGCGCUAGAUGUGGGGGCCAUUCCACGGUUUCCGCGUCGUAGCUAACGCAUUAAGCGCCCCGCCUGGGGAGUACGGCCGCAAGGCUAAAACUCAAAGGAAUUGACGGGGGCCCGCACAAGCGGCGGAGCAUGCGGAUUAAUUCGAUGCAACGCGAAGAACCUUACCAAGGCUUGACAUAUACGAGAACACUGCAGAAAUGUAGGACUCUUUGGACACUCGUAUACAGGUGGUGCAUGGUUGUCGUCAGCUCGUGUCGUGAGAUGUUGGGUUAAGUCCCGCAACGAGCGCAACCCUCGUCGCAUGUUGCCAGCACGUAAAGGUGGGAACUCAUGUGAGACUGCCGGGGUCAACUCGGAGGAAGUGGGGAUGACGUCAAAUCAUCAUGCCCCUUAUGUCUUGGGCUUCACGCAUGCUACAAUGGCCGGUACAAAGGGCUGCAAUACCGUAAGGUGGAGCGAAUCCCAAAAAAGCCGGUCUCAGUUCGGA
This 522-nucleotide ribosomal RNA is filed under the name uncultured bacterium. Its description in RNAcentral is "bacterial SSU rRNA". It matches the Rfam family "Bacterial small subunit ribosomal RNA", at positions 777 to 1297 of the family's 1533-position model. The record is from RNAcentral.